This 74-nucleotide transfer RNA is filed under the name Acinetobacter wanghuae. RNAcentral's name for it is "tRNA-Trp". It matches the Rfam family "tRNA". Rfam says of the family: Transfer RNA (tRNA) molecules are approximately 80 nucleotides in length. Their secondary structure includes four short double-helical elements and three loops (D, anti-codon, and T loops). Lineage: Bacteria; Pseudomonadati; Pseudomonadota; Gammaproteobacteria; Moraxellales; Moraxellaceae. The record is from RNAcentral.
AGGUCAAUGAUGUAACGGUAGCAUAACGGUCUCCAAAAUCGUUUGUUCAGGUUCGAAUCCUGAUUGACUUGCCA